CCUACGGGAGGCAGCAGUGAGGAAUAUUGGUCAAUGGGCGAGAGCCUGAACCAGCCAAGUCGCGUGAGGGAGUACUGCCCUAUGGGUUGUAAACCUCUUUUGUCGGGGAGCAAAAGCCGGACGUGUCCGGCUGUGAGAGUACCCGAAGAAAAAGCAUCGGCUAACUCCGUGCCAGCAGCCGCGGUAAUACGGAGGAUGCGAGCGUUACCCGGAUUUAUUGGGUUAAAAGGGUGCGCAGGCGGAUUUUUAAGUCAGCGGUAAAAUCGUGGGGCUCAACCCCAUCCAGCCGUUGAAACUGGGGAUCUAGAGUGUGCGAGAGGUAUGCGGAAUGCGUGGUGUAGCGGUGAAAUGCAUAGAUAUCACGCAGAACCCCGAUUGCGAAGGCAGCAUACCGGUGCACAACUGACGCUCAGGCACGAAAGCGUGGGUAUCGAACAGGAUUAGAUACCCCAGUAGUC
This 458-nucleotide ribosomal RNA is filed under the name uncultured bacterium. RNAcentral's name for it is "partial 16S ribosomal RNA". It matches the Rfam family "Bacterial small subunit ribosomal RNA", at positions 338 to 795 of the family's 1533-position model. The record is from RNAcentral.